AUUAGUAAGUUAAUUAGUUAACUUAAUUGAGACUAAUCUCUAUAAUUGAUUAGGAUAAUUAAUUUGGUUAAUUAACCCUAAUUUAUUUAAUUAACUCUAUUACUUAAUUUGAUGUGAAUGCCAUAUGGGGCCCGCCCUAUUUGUUGAACCUAAUUUUAAUAAAAUUAAAACUGAAUUAACUAUGGGUCUAUAAGAGUGGGACGCACUGGUUAGUUGACUAGUCAAGUGAGAUUGUUGACCGCUGAUGUCCGCAUGACAUCAUGCUAAUGUAAUAUAUAUUUGUUGAAUUAUAAUAAAUCUAUUUAAUUUCUAAAUAUUAAUAAAACUAUGAAAUUUAAUAAAAAAUAAUCUGGAAUCCGGAUGAAAAUAUUUUGUAUAUGAAAGUUGAUCAAAAAAACGAGACGAACCUGGAUACGUUAUCUGUUCGUGUGUCGCGCGUCCCUAGCAUAGCUAACAUGGAGCUUUUCCAUCCGUAUCGUCUGUCCAGUAGUAGCCAAAGACCACGGAAAUAUCGUGAGAUAUUUUCCUGCUUCGUGUGUAACGUUUAGUACUGCAUUAGUUCACCCCUAGCACGGUAAUUACCCUGUCAUGCUUUAUGAUGCAUUUGAUUGUUGUGUUAUUUAUUGUGUUUCCCCUACGUUGCUUCCUUUCUAGUAGACCCGAGACCGAGGAUGAUCCGGUGUUCGACUACUUCCCGGUCGAGGAUCCGUAUUUGUUUGCGGAGCAACUAGGCAAGCAACCCCCUUGAUCAUUCUUAUAUCACCUAUUAUUUCUCCCUCACGCUUGCAUUAGAUUUUGCUACUAUUGUAGAUAGCUCCUAUAUCUGAUGCCUAGCCUGUUUUUGAUGAACUGCUUCUUUCCUUUACGGUACUUUUAACAUGACAGUGUAAUAAUAUGAUGAAUAAUUUGGGUAGUAUGACUAAUUCGGGUAGUAUGGGUAUUUCGAGUUUUCUAGACUGAAACCCGAACCCGAACCCAAAAACCAAAUAGCUAAGAAAUGAGAACCGAACCCUAACCCAAUACCCUAAUUACCCGACAAUUCGAGUAAUUCGGUUCGGGUUCGGGUUUGGGUAACGGGUUAGGGUACCCAAAUGCCCAGGGUGAGGUGGAGCAGUCAUCCCCUUUGCCCCCCUUAGUCUAGUUGCCCCCGCUUUAUCGUCAAGUCUCAAUCAUCUGAUCGAUGAGCCAAGACCCGACACAUCACUUUACACCCCCUUGUUGUACGAUGUUGCAUGGCUACUAUCGAGUACCGAGGGUGACACUUCGAUACGUACUCAUGAUGUUAGCUUUGUAGUGUAAUUAACCGGCGGUGGUUCUCGAAGGGUGAUUCCUCCUUCACCACUUCCGGUAACGACUCUAUCGUACCACCCAUCAAGAAUGAUCUAGCAAGGGUGAUUCCUCCCUGGCCACCUUGAUGGUUACAUCAUUCGGAAUACAUCAAGGCUGAUACCUCGGAUUUUUCUGAUGUUGUAGCCACACAGUUACUUGACCUUGUUACUCGGAAUUUGAUGAAUGGUGUGUUGCGGGUGGAUUCCCGCGUGGAUGAGAUGAUGAGUUAAUUAAAAUGCUAAUGGAUUUGGGUAUUUGAUCUGAGUUGCUCGGGAGACCUUUUUUGCAGUAACCUUCACGUGGGAGAAUUUAUGUGUAUUCGACGUCGUGGUAUCAGCCGAAGCUCUUCACACGUCAGCAAUGAAAGGGUGCAUGCCUGAGUGGCCCGGAUAAGCAUGGUUCUUGUAUAAGAGGUACCAAGACUGACAUUAGCCGCCCUCGCAUGGUGCAGGAGCGCAACAGGUGAUGGGCCCAUGACCCCUGCGCGCUUAGGAUUUAGACCGGUGGGCUGGCCUCUCUAUUGAGCAUAGGUAAGGCUGCGACGUGUUGAUGUUCCGAGGCCGGGCAUGUCCGAGGAAACCGUGUCCGGCCAGAGUUUAUCGGGUACUAUGGUGCACCCCUGCAGGGAUGAAAAUUAAUUAUUCUAAUAGCCAUGUCCACGGUUACAGGGCGAUUUGGAGUUGUGCCCCGAUCUUAUACAACUACAACCUUUACUUAACUGGGAUGUUUACUCUGGGAUUGCUUCCUCGUAGGGAGUUGGGGAAUAAUCCCUAGGCAUGACCUUAAUUAAUAUUGCUGCAACAAUAUGACUAUAUAUUUGUGAUUCUUGCUCUACUCUCGUAUAUUGCUGCAAGACGCUGAAGAUGCUAGUCUUCGAUAGUACUAGUCCCCUCUCUCUAUUCUCGCAACGCUGUAGUCAGUCCACAUAAAACCCCCUUUCCUUUGAUACUGAUGCAUACUUAGCAUUUGUGAUGUUAGUCUUGCGACUACUUUGGAUGAGUACUCACCGUUGCUUUGCUCCCCACUUUCCCCUUGAUUCGAUUGCUGCGACCACAUGUUGGAGCCUAGGAGAUGGCAUUUCCCGCCGACGACGCCUGCUACCCCGAUGGUGCCUACUACUAUGUGGAGGCCGCUGAAGACCAGGAGUAGUUUAGGAGGUUCCCAGGCACAAGGCAUCGCCUCGUUUGAUCGUUGUAUCUUUUGUGCUAGCCUUCUCUAAGGCUUUAUCCUUUGUUUCAUGUUUGUACUCAAAUAUUUGUUGCUUCCGCUGACUCAUGUGUUUAUCGAACUUCUGUAUUCUAGCCCUUGAGGCCCCUGGCUUGUAAUAUGAAGCUUGUAUGAUUUUAUUUGUGUCUAGAGUUGUGUUGUGAUAUCUUCCCAUGAGUCCGUGAGCUUGGUCGUAUGCAAGCAUGUAUGAUUAGUGUACAAUCAAACCGAGAGCGUCACAGAAUGCCUAGAAGGCAUCCCCUCUUUCUUCUAACAACGAUCGACAAUUUUAC
RNAcentral lists this long non-coding RNA (2828 nucleotides) under Hordeum vulgare. RNAcentral describes it as "long non-coding RNA (HVUL_LNC000543)". The record is from RNAcentral. Lineage: Eukaryota; Viridiplantae; Streptophyta; Magnoliopsida; Poales; Poaceae.